CCGACGGUGAGGGGCGAAAGCUGGGGGCACGAACCGGAUUAGAUACCCGGGUAGUCCCAGCCGUAAACGAUGCUCGCUAGGUGUCCGGGAUGGUGCGACCGUUUCAGGUGCCGCAGGGAAGCCGUGAAGCGAGCCACCUGGGAAGUACGGCCGCAAGGCUGAAACUUAAAGGAAUUGGCGGGGGUGCACUACAACGGGUGGAGCCUGCGGUUUAAUUGGACUCAACGCCGGAAAACUCACCUGGGGC
RNAcentral lists this ribosomal RNA (247 nucleotides) under uncultured archaeon. RNAcentral describes it as "partial 16S ribosomal RNA". It matches the Rfam family "Archaeal small subunit ribosomal RNA", at positions 691 to 937 of the family's 1478-position model. The record is from RNAcentral.